GGAUGUAGCCAAGCGGUAAGGCACCGGACUUUGACUCCGCCAUGCGCCGGUUCGAAUCCGGCCAUCCC
This 68-nucleotide transfer RNA is filed under the name human gut metagenome. It matches the Rfam family "tRNA". From Rfam's summary of the family: Transfer RNA (tRNA) molecules are approximately 80 nucleotides in length. Their secondary structure includes four short double-helical elements and three loops (D, anti-codon, and T loops). The record is from RNAcentral.